CUUCAUUUAACUUGAGGAAGUUGCUGGAUUUUUCAGUUCAUCAGUGUUUUUAUUUAUAAAUAGAUGUUAAAAAAUGACUUGCCAUUUAACUAAGCUAUUGUCAAUAUCAUUUAUGCUAUAUCAUGUUUGGAGCAGAGAUUAAACAAUAAAAUCACUUUCUAAAAUCAAAAAUGAUAAAUUGAAUUUAAGUAAACUGAGUUUGAAUUAUAUGACUUGUUAGAGAAUGGGGUUUGUUUUAGUCAGCUAUUUCGAUGCUGUGACUAAAGGACCUGACCAGCACAAUUGUAGAGGAGGAAAGGUUUAUUCAAGGCUCAUGGUUUCAGAGGCCUUAGUCCACAGAAGGCUGGCUCCAUUUCUCAGGGCUCUAGAUGAAGCAGAGCAUCAUGGCCAAAGAGUGUGGCAGAGGGAAGGAGCUCACAGGAUGAUCAGGAAACAGAGAGAAUCUCCAUCCUCCAGAUACAAAAUAUAUACCCCAUAGUCUGGACCCCAGUGAACUACCUCUCCAGCCACACCCCACCUCCUCCAGCUACCACUCAGUUAAUCCUAUCAGGGAUCAAUUCACUGAUUAGGGGGCUGGGGAUGUGGCUCAAGCGGUAGCGUGCUAGCGUGGCAUGCGUGCGGCCCGGGUUUGAUCCUCAGCACCACAUACAAACAAAGAUGUUGUGUCC
This 668-nucleotide long non-coding RNA is filed under the name Marmota monax (woodchuck). The record is from RNAcentral. Lineage: Eukaryota; Metazoa; Chordata; Mammalia; Rodentia; Sciuridae.